CCUCAUCACAUUAAAACACCGGUUCUCAUAGGAUCACCAAAGUUAAGCAACGUCGAGCCGGGUCAGUACUGAGAGAGGUGACUGCUUGGGAAUACCAGAUGCUGUAAG
Molecule: non-coding RNA, 108 nt
Organism: Acanthosepion pharaonis
Lineage: Eukaryota; Metazoa; Mollusca; Cephalopoda; Sepiida; Sepiidae
Source: the annotation of a GenBank genome assembly